GAUGAACGCUGGCGGCGUGCCUAAUACAUGCAAGUCGAGCGAACAGACGAGGAGCUUGCUCCUCUGACGUUAGCGGCGGACGGGUGAGUAACACGUGGAUAACCUACCUAUAAGACUGGGAUAACUUCGGGAAACCGGAGCUAAUACCGGAUAAUAUAUUGAACCGCAUGGUUCAAUAGUGAAAGACGGUUUUGCUGUCACUUAUAGAUGGAUCCGCGCCGCAUUAGCUAGUUGGUAAGGUAACGGCUUACCAAGGCAACGAUGCGUAGCCGACCUGAGAGGGGGAUCGGCCACGCGGGGACUGAGACCCGGUCCAGACCCCUACGGGAGGCAGCAGGAGGGAAUCUUCCGCAAUGGGCGAAAGCUUGGCGGGGCAACGCCGCGUGAGUGAAGAAGGUUUUCGGAUCGUAAAACUUUGUUUUUAGGGAAGAACAAAUGUGUAAGUAACUAUGCCCGUCUUGGCGGUACCUAAGCAGAAAGCCCCGGCUAACUCCGU
RNAcentral lists this ribosomal RNA (496 nucleotides) under uncultured bacterium. RNAcentral's name for it is "partial 16S ribosomal RNA". It matches the Rfam family "Bacterial small subunit ribosomal RNA", at positions 28 to 506 of the family's 1533-position model. The record is from RNAcentral.